This 231-nucleotide long non-coding RNA is filed under the name Elaeis guineensis (African oil palm). RNAcentral describes it as "long non-coding RNA (EGUI_LNC034693)". The record is from RNAcentral. Lineage: Eukaryota; Viridiplantae; Streptophyta; Magnoliopsida; Arecales; Arecaceae.
GUUACGACAGUGGUGAUCAAAAUUGAAGAUGGAGAAGACAGACGCAAUCAAGAUGGAGAUCUACCGUAAAAGAUUGAUCAAUGCUCUCUUAUGCAAGGGAGAGCCAUCUACAUGGAGGAUGCCAGCAGGAGCCCAGUAUGAGAUGGAGCUUUAGGUGAUGGAUCAAGCACGGGAUAAAAGACUCGGAAAGAUGAUUCUCGACGUCGUCAGGAGGCUACCUCGAGCAGGUCU